Molecule: long non-coding RNA, 252 nt
Filed under: Chinchilla lanigera (long-tailed chinchilla)
Lineage: Eukaryota; Metazoa; Chordata; Mammalia; Rodentia; Chinchillidae
Description: lncRNA (ENSCLAG00000024519.1)
Source: RNAcentral
UUACUUGUCUUUUUUUUUUAUUGUUUUUUUUCUGGUUCCAGGGAUCGAACUCACAACCUUGCACUUGCUGGACAGGUGCUGUGCUGCUGAGCUAAAUCCCCAGCUCCAAUAGUAUCUUUUAAUGGAUGACAUUUUAGCCUGUACUAAAUGCAGUAACUUCAGUAUGAAAAUCAGUGGGAAGAAAUUGGAGCCCAGGCUUAAGCAAGGUCAGGCAGUUGUGAACAACAGGGAGAUUACCAGCACAGAGUACCU